RNAcentral lists this ribosomal RNA (1306 nucleotides) under 'Brassica oleracea var. capitata' witches'-broom phytoplasma. RNAcentral describes it as "bacterial SSU rRNA". It matches the Rfam family "Bacterial small subunit ribosomal RNA", at positions 183 to 1481 of the family's 1533-position model. Lineage: Bacteria; Bacillati; Mycoplasmatota; Mollicutes; Acholeplasmatales; Acholeplasmataceae. The record is from RNAcentral.
AAAAGGCAUCUUUUUGUUUUUAAAAGACCUUCUUACGAAGGUAUGCUUAAAGAGGGGCUUGCGCCACAUUAGUUAGUUGGUAGAGUAAAAGCCUACCAAGACGAUGAUGUGUAGCUGGACUGAGAGGUUGAACAGCCACAUUGGGACUGAGACACGGCCCAAACUCCUACGGGAGGCAGCAGUAGGGAAUUUUCGGCAAUGGAGGAAACUCUGACCGAGCAACGCCGCGUGAACGAUGAAGUAUUUCGGUAUGUAAAGUUCUUUUAUUGAAGAAGAAAAAGUAGUGGAAAAACUAUAUUGACGUUAUUCAAUGAAUAAGCCCCGGCUAACUAUGUGCCAGCAGCCGCGGUAAGACAUAGGGGGCGAGCGUUAUCCGGAAUUAUUGGGCGUAAAGGGUGCGUAGGCUGUUAGAUAAGUCUAUAAUUUAAUUUCAGUGCUUAACGCUGUCUUGUUAUAGAAACUGUCUUGACUAGAGUGAGAUAGAGGCAAGCGGAAUUCCAUGUGUAGCGGUAAAAUGUGUAAAUAUAUGGAGGAACACCAGAAGCGUAGGCGGCUUGCUGGGUCUUUACUGACGCUGAGGCACGAAAGCGUGGGUAGCAAACAGGAUUAGAUACCCUGGUAGUCCACGCCGUAAACGAUGAGUACUAAGUGUCGGGGUAAAACUCGGUACUGAAGUUAACACAUUAAGUACUCCGCCUGAGUAGUACGUACGCAAGUAUGAAACUUAAAGGAAUUGACGGGACUCCGCACAAGCGGUGGAUCAUGUUGUUUAAUUCGAAGAUACACGAAAAAUCUUACCAGGUCUUGACAUACUCUGCAAAGCUAUAGAAAUAUAGUGGAGGUUAUCAGGGAUACAGGUGGUGCAUGGUUGUCGUCAGUUCGUGUCGUGAGAUGUUAGGUUAAGUCCUAAAACGAACGCAACCCUUGUCGUUAAUUGCCAGCACAUAAUGGUGGGGACUUUAACGAGACUGCCAAUUAAACAUUGGAGGAAGGUGAGGAUUACGUCAAAUCAUCAUGCCCCUUAUGAUCUGGGCUACAAACGUGAUACAAUGGCUGUGACAAAGAGUAGCUGAAACGCGAGUUUUUAGCCAAUCUCAAAAAAGCAGUCUCAGUUCGGAUUGAAGUCUGUAACUCGACUUCAUGAAGUUGGAAUCGCUAGUAAUCGCGAAUCAGCAUGUCGCGGUGAAUACGUUCUCGGGGUUUGUACACACCGCCCGUCAAACCACGAAAGUUAGCAAUGCCCGAAAGCAGUAGCUUAACUUCGCAAGAAGAGGGAACUGUCUAAGGUAGGGUUGAUGAUUGGGGU